UACGUAGGGACCAAGCGUUGUUCGGAUUUACUGGGCGUAAAGGGCGCGUAGGCGGCACUUCAAGUCAUCUGUGAAAUCUCCGGGCUUAACUCGGAACGGUCAGAUGAUACUGCUUUGCUAGAGUGCGGAAGGGGCAAUCGGAAUUCUCGGUGUAGCGGUGAAAUGCGUAGAUAUCGAGAGGAACACCGGAGGUGAAGACGGGUUGCUGGGCCGACACUGACGCUGAGGCGCGAAAGCCAGGGGAGCAAACGGG
Molecule: ribosomal RNA, 253 nt
Filed under: uncultured bacterium
Lineage: Bacteria
Description: partial 16S ribosomal RNA
Rfam family: Bacterial small subunit ribosomal RNA
Source: RNAcentral